Long non-coding RNA from Oncorhynchus tshawytscha (Chinook salmon), 658 nucleotides. NCBI's taxonomy places the organism in Eukaryota, Metazoa, Chordata, Actinopteri, Salmoniformes, Salmonidae. The record is from Ensembl.
UCUCUCGGAUCCGGGAUGGGUAGUUCCAGGAGAUUUUAAGAGACAGGUGUGUGUGUGUGUGUGUGUUACCUGGAGUUGAUCGGAGAGGUAGGAAGAGAGGCGGGGGCCGGAGUAUCAGUCUCAUCUUCCUCAUCCUCACCCCACUCUUCCUCUCUCAGAGGGGUAAUGUUGUUCCCCAGCCACACAGAAUGGAUGGACACCUGAUGGAGAGAGACAAAGAGAGAGGAAUUAGAGAGAGAGAGAGACAAUAAAGGAGAGGAAUUAGAGAGAGAGACAAUAAAGGAGAGGAAUUAGAGAGAGAGACAAUAAAGGAGAGGAAUUAGAGAGAGAGAGACAAUAAAGGAGAGGAAUUAGAGAGAGAGAGAGAGAGACUGAACAUAUCUGCAAGAGAAGGACACAACUAUGCCAUUUGGUCUGUCUUCCCUUUCCUCCGCCCCCUCUCUCCUUCCAUCCCUCCAUCCUACCUGUCCCAGUUUGUAGUCCAUCUCUCUCUCCUUCCAUCCCUCCAUCCUACCUGUCCCAGUUUGUAUCCAUCUCUCUCUCCUUCCAUCCCUCCAUCCUACCUGUCCCAGUUUGUAGUCCAUGUGUCCCAUCUCUCUCUCCCUCCAUCCUACCUGUCCCAGUUUGUAGUCCAUCUCUCUCUCCUUCCAUCCCUCCA